GACGAACGCUGGCGGCGUGCCUAACACAUGCAAGUCGAACGCGAAAGGGGGGCUUCGGCUCCUAAGUAGAGUGGCGUCCGGGUGAGUAACACGUAGGUAAUCUGCCUUCGGGUGGGGAAUAACCAGUCGAAAGAUUGGCUAAUACCGCAUAAUGCAGCGGCACCUAAUGGUGAUUAGUUGUUAAAGCGGGGGAUCGUAAGACCUCGCGCCUGAAGAGGAGCCUGCGGCAGAUUAGCUAGUUGGUGAGGUAAUGGCUCACCAAGGCUUCGAUCUGUAGCUGGUCUGAGAGGACGGCCAGCCACACUGGCACUGACACACGGGCCAGACUCCUACGGGAGGCAGCAGUGGGGAAUUUUGGGCAAUGGGCGAAAGCCUGACCCAGCAACGCCGCGNGAGGGAGGAAAUCCUUCGGGAUGUAAACCUCACAAGCAAGGGAAGAGAGCUCAGGGCCGAAUAAGCUUUGAGUCCGACGGUACCUUGCGUAAGCCACGGCUAACU
Molecule: ribosomal RNA, 498 nt
Filed under: uncultured bacterium
Lineage: Bacteria
Description: bacterial SSU rRNA
Rfam family: Bacterial small subunit ribosomal RNA
Source: RNAcentral